Long non-coding RNA from Choloepus didactylus (southern two-toed sloth), 640 nucleotides. RefSeq lists it as uncharacterized. The transcript is spliced from 3 exons. The record is from RefSeq and is a predicted model, not a curated record. NCBI's taxonomy places the organism in Eukaryota, Metazoa, Chordata, Mammalia, Pilosa, Megalonychidae.
UGGCCAAAGUAGCAUGGAGUUCCUGGGGAGGAAAAUCAACGCUUUCAAUGGGUGCUGAGUGCUACAAACAGAGCCACCUCUACUUAGAUGCCAUAAGUACAGAAAAACUUGGAGUCUUCCGGAUCUGAGUGGGAAUUUCAAAGCAGAGGCAGCUAGCCAAACCAUGAGUGGAGUGCUGGGGAAAUGGAUAGCUGGCAAAUCGACAAGAAGCUGGUGGAGCUUGGGGCCUUCCAUAGAGUGAAGUCAAGGUCACCAGGGAAGCCACUCACGGCCACCAGAUGGACGAGCACUGACAAGUUACCAGCAGAAAUCCAUUACUUUGAUUUAAGCCUGUUCUUUUAUCGAUGGGCACGUGCUCCUGGGAGGGAUAGCCAACGCAUUCCAUACACCAUUGUUGGGUGCCUCAGCCUUUCUCAGGUCUUCCAAAACCAUUUGAAAGUGGAAUGGGGACCUUCCCACAAAAGUCAUUCUAAGAGAGUUUAUGAAUGAUAAAUGUUACACCACACCUAUUUUCAAAAUAACAGAUCUGAGCUGUUCUGUAGCCUUUGGGGUAUAAAUAUUAUCCUGUCUCCUUAUUUCCCCAAAUGGAAUUAAAACUAGGUUGAACCCUGUGGAAAUAAAAAUGAUAAACUUAAAAUUA